Molecule: long non-coding RNA, 336 nt
Filed under: Monodelphis domestica (gray short-tailed opossum)
Lineage: Eukaryota; Metazoa; Chordata; Mammalia; Didelphimorphia; Didelphidae
Description: lncRNA (ENSMODG00000042778.1)
Source: RNAcentral
GUUGCCAGUUGGAAUUCUGGGUAGCCUGAGUGAGUUGGUUUUUCCAAUUGCCAACAGCUCCUGGAAGGUUUUCCCUUAGGAGGAUGUUGGUGUUUCUGUUCCCUGGAACACUGAAAAAUCCCAGGGGCAGGUGAAGGAGGAGAACAGAAUUAAGUUCAAUGCUUGGCACAUAGGAGACACUCAAUUUUUUUUAUUAAUUGAUUAUUGAUUGACUCACUCCUGGAUUAAGACAUCUGGAAGGAAGAAUUUACAUUCUAAAAUUCGUCAUUUGGGGAGCUCAAGUUCCAAGAGUCAGAACAAUAUGCUACCAAGCUGACAUUUAAAGAGAGAGAAAAG